GAUGAACGCUGGCGGCGUGCUUAACACAUGCAAGUCGAACGGUGAAGCCAAGCUUGCUUGGUGGAUCAGUGGCGAACGGGUGAGUAACACGUGAGCAACCUGCCCUGGACUCUGGGAUAAGCGCUGGAAACGGUGUCUAAUACUGGAUCUGAGCUUCUACCGCAUGGUGGGGGUUGGAAAGNNUUUUCGGUCUGGGAUGGGCUCGCGGCCUAUCAGCUUGUUGGUGAGGUAAUGGCUCACCAAGGCGUCGACGGGUAGCCGGCCUGAGAGGGUGACCGGCCACACUGGGACUGAGACACGGCCCAGACUCCUACGGGAGGCAGCAGUGGGGAAUAUUGCACAAUGGGCGGAAGCCUGAUGCAGCAACGCCGCGUGAGGGAUGACGGCCUUCGGGUUUGUAAACCUCUUUUUAGCAAGGAAGAAGCGAAAGUGACGGUACUUUGCAGAAAAAGCGCCGGCUAACUACGUGCCAGCAGCCGCGGUAAUACGUAGGGCGCAAGCGUUAUCCGGAAUUAUUGGGCGUAAAGAGCUCGUAGGCGGUUUGUCGCGUCUGCUGUGAAAUCCCGAGGCUCAACCUCGGGCCUGCAGUGGGUACGGGCAGACUAGAGUGCGGUAGGGGAGAUUGGAAUUCCUGGUGUAGCGGUGGAAUGCGCAGAUAUCAGGAGGAACACCGAUGGCGAAGGCAGAUCUNUGGGCCGUAACUGACGCUGAGGAGCGAAAGGGUGGGGAGCAAACAGGCUUAGAUACCCUGGUAGUCCACCCCGUAAACGUUGGGAACUAGUUGUGGGGUCCUUUCCACGGAUUCCGUGACGCAGCUAACGCAUUAAGUUCCCCGCCUGGGGAGUACGGCCGCAAGGCUAAAACUCAAAGGAAUUGACGGGGACCCGCACAAGCGGCGGAGCAUGCGGAUUAAUUCGAUGCAACGCGAAGAACCUUACCAAGGCUUGACAUACACGAGAACACUCUAGAAGUAGGGGACUCUUUGGACACUCGUGAACAGGUGGUGCAUGGUUGUCGUCAGCUCGUGUCGGAGAUUGGGUUA
Molecule: ribosomal RNA, 1042 nt
Filed under: actinobacterium SH-4-3-2
Lineage: Bacteria; Bacillati; Actinomycetota; Actinomycetes
Description: bacterial SSU rRNA
Rfam family: Bacterial small subunit ribosomal RNA
Source: RNAcentral